Molecule: ribosomal RNA, 759 nt
Filed under: uncultured bacterium
Lineage: Bacteria
Description: bacterial SSU rRNA
Rfam family: Bacterial small subunit ribosomal RNA
Source: RNAcentral
AAGGGUGCGCAGGCGGGGAUUUAGGUCGGCGGUGAAUUUCGGGGCUCAACCUCGACAGUGCCGUUGAAACCGUUUCUCUUGAGUGCGGAUGAGGUAGGCGGAAUUUGUGGUGUAGCGGUGAAAUGCGUAGAUAUCACAAGGAACACCGAUUGCGGAGGCAGCUUACUAAACCGUUACUGACGCUCAUGCACGAAGGCGUGGGGAUCAAACAGGAUUAGAUACCCUGGUAGUCCACGCAGUAAACGAUGAUUACUUGCUGUUUGCGAUACACAGUAAGCGGCGUAGCGAAAGCGUUAAGUAAUCCACCUGGGGAGUACGUUCGCAAGAAUGAAACUCAAAGGAAUUGACGGGGGCCCGCACAAGCGGAGGAACAUGUGGUUUAAUUCGAUGAUACGCGAGGAACCUUACCCGGGCUUGAAAUGCAUUCGACGGGGUUGGAAACAGCCUUUCCCUUCGGGGCGGAUGCGUAGGUGCUGCAUGGUUGUCGUCAGCUCGUGCCGUGAGGUGUCGGCUUAAGUGCCAUAACGAGCGCAACCCCUGUCGUCAGUUACCAUCGGUAUAAGCCGGGGACUCUGGCGAGACUGCCAUCGUAAGAUGCGAGGAAGGUGGGGAUGACGUCAAAUCAGCACGGCCCUUAUGUCCGGGGCGACACACGUGUUACAAUGGGGCGGUACAGCGGGGCGCUACCCGGCGACGGGGAGCCGAUCCCGAAAUCCGCUCACAGUUCGGAUCGGAGUCUGCAACUCGACUCCGUGAAGU